CGUUUGGUCGAAUGCUACUAGAGCAGCCUGACCAAACUAGUAUUAGUAAAUAAAGG
Molecule: regulatory RNA element, 56 nt
Rfam family: 3'-terminal pseudoknot of CuYV/BPYV
Source: Rfam